ACUAGCUCUUCAAGUGGUCGGGAUGAUUAUUGGGCUUAAAGUGUCCGUAGCCGGUUUAGAAAGUUCCUGGUAAAAUCAGGUAGCUUAACUAUCUGUAUGCUAGGAAUACUACUAUACUAGAGGACGGGAGAGGUCUGAGGUACUACAGGGGUAGGGGUGAAAUCUUAUAAUCCUUGUAGGACCACCAGUGGCGAAGGCGUCAGACUGGAACGUGCCUGACGGUGAGGGACGAAAGCCAGGGGAGCGAACCGGAUUAGAUACCCGGGUAGUCCUGGCCGUAAACGAUGCAUACUAGGUGAUGGCCCGGCCAUGAGCCGUGUCAGUGCCGUAGGGAAACCGUUAAGUGUGCCGCCUGGGAAGUACGGUCGCAAGGCUAAAACUUAAAGGAAUUGGCGGGGAGCACCACAAGGGGUGAAGCCUGCGGUUC
This 427-nucleotide ribosomal RNA is filed under the name uncultured archaeon. RNAcentral describes it as "bacterial SSU rRNA". It matches the Rfam family "Archaeal small subunit ribosomal RNA", at positions 475 to 903 of the family's 1478-position model. The record is from RNAcentral.